Molecule: transfer RNA, 71 nt
Filed under: Marmota monax (woodchuck)
Lineage: Eukaryota; Metazoa; Chordata; Mammalia; Rodentia; Sciuridae
Description: tRNA.Ile
Rfam family: tRNA
About the family: Transfer RNA (tRNA) molecules are approximately 80 nucleotides in length. Their secondary structure includes four short double-helical elements and three loops (D, anti-codon, and T loops).
Source: RNAcentral
GGGGUUGUGGCUCAGCGGUAGAGCACACGUCUAAUGCGCGUGAGGCACUGAAUUCGAUCCUCAGCACCACA